Molecule: non-coding RNA, 74 nt
Filed under: Candidatus Woykeibacteriota
Lineage: Bacteria
Source: RNAcentral
CAAAGGAAAUACGGGUGAAUGGCCGUGUAAUUCGGCCGGAGUGCCGCUACUGUAUACCCAGAACCCCGCCUUUG